AAAUUUAUCAUCCAGAGAAGGAUGAGAAGCUUCGACUGAAGGUUCGAGUCGAACAAAGUGAGACAACGCGCUUUAGCGCGGCCCGAAGGGUGAGACGCAACGCGUCGAAUCAUCCUUCUCCCACCACCA
Molecule: small RNA, 129 nt
Filed under: Enterobacteriaceae bacterium RIT702
Lineage: Bacteria; Pseudomonadati; Pseudomonadota; Gammaproteobacteria; Enterobacterales; Enterobacteriaceae
Also listed under: 1 other name
Description: RtT sRNA
Rfam family: RtT RNA
About the family: This family represents a bacterial cis-regulatory element known as RtT RNA. The exact function of RtT is unknown although it is thought that it may be involved in changing the cellular response in relation to amino acid starvation.
Source: RNAcentral